Molecule: ribosomal RNA, 504 nt
Filed under: uncultured Actinomycetes bacterium
Lineage: Bacteria; Bacillati; Actinomycetota; Actinomycetes
Description: bacterial SSU rRNA
Rfam family: Bacterial small subunit ribosomal RNA
Source: RNAcentral
CCCUUCCGGGGGGGCCGCGGUGGGAAAUUUUGCGCAAUGGGGGAAAGCCUGACCCUCCAACCCCGCGUGGGGGAAGAAGAGCCUUCGGGUUGUAAACCUCUUUCAGGCGGGAAAAAUACACUGGGGUUAAUACCCCGGAGGAUGACGGUACCUCCAGAAGAAGCCCCGGCUAACUAUGUCCCAGCACCCGCGGUAAUACGUAGGGGGCAAGCGUUUUUCGGAUUUAUUGGGUGUAAAGAGCGUGUGGGCGGCCAGCUAAGUCUGUUGUGAAAACCCCCGGCUCAACCUCGGAAAUCCGCUGGAAACUGUCUGGCUAGAGUCCGGAAGAGGGGAGUGGAAUUCCUGGUGUAGCGGUGAAAUGCGCAGAUAUCUGGAGGAACACCGGUGGGGAAGGCGGCUUUCUGGGCCGCUACUGACGCUGAGACGCGAAAGCGUGGGGAGCGAACGGGAUUAGAUACCCCGGUAGUCCUCGCCCUAAACGAUGGAUGCUAGGUGUGGGAGGAU